GAUGAAGAACGUAGCGAAAUGCGAUACUUGGUGUGAAUUGCAGAAUCCCGUGAACCAUCGAGUUUUUGAACGCAAGUUGCGCCCGAAGCCUUUUUUUGGCCGAGGGCACGUCUGCCUGGGCGUCACGCAUCGCGUCGCCCCCCACAAAUUCUCCGUCAGGGGAGCUUGUGUUUCGGGGGCGGAUACUGGUCUCCCGUGCUCAUGGCGCGGUUGGCCGAAAUAGGAGUCCCUUCGAUGGACGCACGAACUAGUGGUGGUCGUAAAAACCCUCGUCUUUUGUUUCGUGCCGUUAGUCGCGAGGGAAGCUCUUUAAAAACCCCAACGCGUCGUCCCUUGACGGCGCUUCGACCGCGACCCCAGGUCAGGCGGGACUACCCGCUGAGUUUAAGCAUAUCAAUAAGCGGAGGA
This 408-nucleotide unclassified non-coding RNA is filed under the name soil metagenome. RNAcentral describes it as "partial contains 5.8S ribosomal RNA, internal transcribed spacer 2, and large subunit ribosomal RNA". The stretch from base 1 to 125 matches the Rfam family "5.8S ribosomal RNA", at positions 35 to 154 of the family's 154-position model. The record is from RNAcentral.